This 308-nucleotide unclassified non-coding RNA is filed under the name Hevea brasiliensis (rubber tree). Lineage: Eukaryota; Viridiplantae; Streptophyta; Magnoliopsida; Malpighiales; Euphorbiaceae. The record is from RNAcentral.
AACUGUCUUCUCUGUCAUGCCUAGUAUUUGUUAUAUAUUACCUCCACUGUCUUCUUGAUGUCAUGUUUGGAGUUAAAAUUGUAAAUGAUAAUCCCAAAGACAGCUACAGAGCUUCUGAAAAAUCUUUAAAGCACAUAAUGAAUUGGUCCCUUUGAUGAAAUUUUAUAGAACAAUCUGAAAAGCCUAAAACAUAAUUACACUUAAUAAUUAUGAAGCUGAAAACUUUCAAAUAAAUUGGACUGACAAAACUAAUGAAGACAAUGCUAAUUCACACCACAGUCUUUGAAUGUCCAAAGGCCCAUCAUUGA